ACUCAUUUUGGCAGCAUAUACUAAAAUUGGAAAAAUACAAAGAAGAUUAGUAUGGACCAUGAACAAAGAUGACACGUAACUUUGCGAACCAUUCCAUAUUUUU
Molecule: small nuclear RNA, 103 nt
Organism: Pongo abelii (Sumatran orangutan)
Lineage: Eukaryota; Metazoa; Chordata; Mammalia; Primates; Hominidae
Source: Ensembl